Long non-coding RNA from Etheostoma cragini (Arkansas darter), 208 nucleotides. RefSeq lists it as uncharacterized. The record is from RefSeq and is a predicted model, not a curated record. The transcript is spliced from 3 exons. Lineage: Eukaryota; Metazoa; Chordata; Actinopteri; Perciformes; Percidae.
AGUUUUAUGUGCGUUAACAUUGAACUCAGCAAAGAGUUCCUUUUUAAUUGGUGAUGGUUUACAUUGACCCAAAUGCUUAAACCACGCUCCCUUUAAUAACUAAUGACCCAUUUCUUGUACACUAUUGUGUGAGGUAUCAUUGAACUGAGCAGAGAGUUCCCUUUUCAUUGGUGAUGAUUUACAGUGUCUGAGUGCCAUGGUAAUGCAA